Vespa velutina is the source of this 697-nucleotide long non-coding RNA. RefSeq lists it as uncharacterized. NCBI's taxonomy places the organism in Eukaryota, Metazoa, Arthropoda, Insecta, Hymenoptera, Vespidae. The record is from RefSeq and is a predicted model, not a curated record. The transcript has 3 exons.
CCCGGCUCUCAGCAUCCGGUAGUCGCGCGUCGCUAUUCGCGAGGAUAAUUCCCCUCGUCGAUUUUCGAUUCCGAUUCUGUCCUGGUGUUUCGCGUAAAAUCUUUAUCUGUUUCUAUCAGAUUGCGCGAUGACGAAUCGAUGGCCUUUUAUCGUUUCAAACCGUGAACAUCGAUUUCAAGAUGAUAUUCGAAUAAUACGACGCCGUGAAUUUCAUUAUUCAGGAAUCACGUCGAGGAUAUAGGAUAUCUCCCCAAAAGAAAAGACCGUUGAAAGGACUCGACGAGAGAGGACGCGUAGAGAGGGAAUCGUCACGCCACGUCAGAAGGAGGGCAUAACGAAGAAUAAAUAAUUAGCGUGCGGCUUCGGGACUGCGGUUUAGUCGCGCACGCGAUUAAAGGACGUCCUGUCCUUUAAUAACAUCCUGAGGGUUGCGGCCUUCCAAUUCUCUUUUCUUUUUUCUCUUCUCUUUUUUUCUUUUUUUUUUUUUUCCUUUUUUUCGGGGCUUUUUUCAGUUCGCCACAUCGAAUUAUCUACGUGGUACAGUAGAAAUAAUGAAAUUGUUUCGACGUGUUAAAUGACUUAUCGAAAAGUUGCUCGAUCAACGUUAUCAAUAUUUUUUUUUUUUUUUUUUUUUUUUUUUUUUUUUUUUUUUAUUUUUUUACAUUUGAAGUUGUAAGUUAUUUUGUUACAUUGUAAG